GACGAACGCUGGCGGCGUGCCUAAUACAUGCAAGUCGAACGAGUGGCGGAAGGGUGAGUAACACGUGGGAACCUACCCAUCAGAGGGGGAUAACUACUGGAAACGGUAGCUAAUACCGCAUACCAUCAGAUGUGCCCAGAUGGGAUUAGCUUGUUGGUGGGGUAACGGCCCACACAGGCGACGUGCCCUAGCUGGUCUGAGAGGGUGACCAGCCACACUGGAUGUGAGGAACGGUCCAGACUCCGACGGGAGGCAGCAGUGGGGAAUAUUGCACAAUGGGCGCAAGCCUGAUGCAGCCAUGCCGCGUGUAUGAAGAAGGCCUUCGGGUUGUAAAGUACUUUCAGCGGGGAGGCGUUACCCGCAGAAGAAGCACCGGCUAACUCCGUGCCAGCCGCCGCGGUAAUUC
RNAcentral lists this ribosomal RNA (406 nucleotides) under uncultured bacterium. RNAcentral's name for it is "partial 16S ribosomal RNA". It matches the Rfam family "Bacterial small subunit ribosomal RNA", at positions 28 to 526 of the family's 1533-position model. The record is from RNAcentral.